GACAAUCACCACAUACACGGAGAUUCUUUAUGAUACGUAAAGGUGUUCUGGCAGGAGUACUAAUCAGACCAUAUGCAAUGGCUAAACGUUCGCUAUGGUAUAGCAAAGCCUGUUCCUUGGCUUCCUGAUCGAUAUCAUGAAGGACAUAUCUGGUAUCAGGAACGUAAGCUUGUUCUUUCAUCGCAGCCCUCAACUUCUCGUCAUCCUUGAAGAGGGUUGGGUUGCGAAAUUCAGCAACUCUAUUUCUUCCCUCAAGCAUAUUAAUGGCUAACUGCUUCUUUACUGGUGGAGUGGGAAUCUUAUUAGCAGCCUUAGAAGGGUCAAGUCCUACCAUCAACUCCUCAGCUCGAUCCUCAAGAUCAAUAUCGCCAUGUAUACGAGCAUAAUUCAUUAAUGCUUCCCAGACGGCUUCUGUUGGUUCAAAUGGAAGCUUUGAGAUAUAUUCCUCUGCCUCAGCAAGAUGUCCACAUUUUCCUAGAACACCCAGAAGUCCUAAAUAGUGCUCCACCUGUGGAGAAAUUCCAUACUCAGCCAUCAUUGACUCAAAAUGCAUGAAAGCCUCAUCAAUAGCAUCUGCA
RNAcentral lists this unclassified non-coding RNA (578 nucleotides) under Hevea brasiliensis (rubber tree). Lineage: Eukaryota; Viridiplantae; Streptophyta; Magnoliopsida; Malpighiales; Euphorbiaceae. The record is from RNAcentral.